AACGCGAAGAACCUUACCAGGGUUUGACAUGGAGUCGCACCACCCUGAAAAGGGUGUUCCUUCGGGACGACUACACAGGUGCUGCAUGGCUGUCGUCAGCUCGUGCCGUGAGGUGUUGGGUUAAGUCCCGCAACGAGCGCAACCCUUAUCGGUAGUUACAUUCACUACCGAGACUGCCCCGAUCAACGGGGAGGAAGGUGGGGAUGACGUCAAGUCAGCACGGCCCUUACAUCCUGGGCGACACACACGCUACAAUGGCCGGGACAGAGAGCCGCCAACCCGCGAGGGGGAGCGAAUCUCACAAAACCGGUCUCAGUUCGGAUUGCAGGCUGCAACCCGCCUGCAUGAAGCUGGAGUUGCUAGUAACCGUGGGUCAGCACACCACGGUGAAUACGUUCCCGGGCCUUGUA
RNAcentral lists this ribosomal RNA (410 nucleotides) under uncultured Chloroflexota bacterium. RNAcentral describes it as "bacterial SSU rRNA". It matches the Rfam family "Bacterial small subunit ribosomal RNA", at positions 958 to 1385 of the family's 1533-position model. Lineage: Bacteria; Bacillati; Chloroflexota. The record is from RNAcentral.